Molecule: non-coding RNA, 76 nt
Filed under: Eubacterium sp.
Lineage: Bacteria; Bacillati; Bacillota; Clostridia; Eubacteriales; Eubacteriaceae
Also listed under: 1 other name
Description: c-di-GMP sequence
Rfam family: c-di-GMP-I riboswitch aptamer
About the family: GEMM was predicted in a large-scale screen for bacterial structured RNA regulatory elements. Genes associated with GEMM are involved in a diverse array of functions, including chemotaxis regulation, signal transduction, secretion and chitin.
Source: RNAcentral
AAAUAUAUUUAGCAAAGCAGGUGAAAACCUGUGACGCAAAGCUAUAGGGCCUUUAAAAUGGCAGCCAGUUGCACUU